GCGCUAAUAGCUCAGCUGGAUAGAGCAACUGCCUUCUAAGCAGUAGGUCCGGGGUUCGAGUCCCUGUUAGCGCGCCA
Molecule: transfer RNA, 77 nt
Filed under: Ruminococcus sp.
Lineage: Bacteria; Bacillati; Bacillota; Clostridia; Eubacteriales; Oscillospiraceae
Also listed under: 2 other names
Description: tRNA-Arg
Rfam family: tRNA
About the family: Transfer RNA (tRNA) molecules are approximately 80 nucleotides in length. Their secondary structure includes four short double-helical elements and three loops (D, anti-codon, and T loops).
Source: RNAcentral